RNAcentral lists this ribosomal RNA (616 nucleotides) under cf. Dacryobolus sp. 2 LR-2015. RNAcentral describes it as "eukaryotic LSU rRNA". The stretch from base 225 to 378 matches the Rfam family "5.8S ribosomal RNA". The record is from RNAcentral. Lineage: Eukaryota; Fungi; Basidiomycota; Agaricomycetes; Polyporales; Dacryobolaceae.
AGUAAAAGUCGUAACAAGGUUUCCGUAGGUGAACCUGCGGAAGGAUCAUUAAUGAAUUUUGAAGGGGCUGUAGCUGGCUCUCUUGAGCAUGUGCACGCCCCGUUCAAUCCAUCUCACCCCUGUGCACCACACUGUAGGGAGGGAGGGCCGUGAGGCCGUCUUUCCCUAUGUCAUUUACAAACCCAAUAGUAUCAGAAUGUAAACGCGUGUAACGCAUUUAAUACAACUUUCAGCAACGGAUCUCUUGGCUCUCGCAUCGAUGAAGAACGCAGCGAAAUGCGAUAAGUAAUGUGAAUUGCAGAAUUCAGUGAAUCAUCGAAUCUUUGAACGCACCUUGCGCUCCUCGGUAUUCCGAGGAGCAUGCCUGUUUGAGUGUCAUGGAAUCAUCAACCUUCACACCUCGUGUGUUUGAAGGCUUGGACUUGGAGGUUUGUGCUGGCGCAAGUCGGCUCCUCUUGAAUUUAUUAGCUGGGCUCUCGAGUCUGGUUGCACGGUGUGAUAAUUAUCUGCAUCGUUCGCCAGGUCUAUGGAUCAGCUUCGAACCGUCCUCUGCGAGGACAAUCAAUUUGACCUCUGACCUCAAAUCAGGUAGGACUACCCGCUGAACUUAAGCAUA